RNA transcript from Ceratitis capitata (Mediterranean fruit fly), 2058 nucleotides. It is a transcript of the gene named leucine-rich repeat-containing protein 40, with no coding region annotated. The record is from RefSeq and is a predicted model, not a curated record. The transcript has 6 exons. Lineage: Eukaryota; Metazoa; Arthropoda; Insecta; Diptera; Tephritidae.
GAUACGUGAACUACCGAAAACCAUUGGUCUGAUAGAUCGCUUGCAACGUUUCAAUAUCAGUGGCAACGAACUGACGGAGCUGCCACCGGAAAAGACAGUCAACUGGUCAGCAUGUCAACAUAUUUCAAUCAUGCCUCACGCAGCUUGAUUGACGAACUGCGACGCAUAGCAUCGGAACUCAUGGUACCCGGUCACGGUGUAGUCGUCACGGACGAGACGCCCACACAGUUGGAGAAUCUAAUGGAAAUGUUUGGCAUAAAUUCCUGCAAAGAAAACCGGAUUUUAUAUCGGAACCUACUUUUCUCGGUAAAGGACACUUUAGACAAAUAUGUCUCCGGCGUUGUGAUACAUCCAGAGGUAUUGGACCAAACAACAGUCAACGGCUGCGCGCUACACUGUCAAUUGAGGCGUAAAAACAUUUUGGUUGGAGUUACAGUGGAUAGAGGACUCGUGCCGGUGUUGUGCUCUAAUGGUGAGUUCGUCACUCAAGGCCUCGACGGCUUGACUAAACGAUGUGCCGAGUAUAAGGAUUGCGGUUGUGAUUUCACCAUGUGGCGUGCACAGUAUAAUAUCGGCGAGUACACGCCUUCCUACCAGAUUAUCAUGGAGAAUGCCAAUACAAUGGCCAAAUAUGCAGCCAUUGCGCAAUCCAAGCGGAUGCUGCCGAUAUUAGAAGUCGACAUAGUGCCAACGGAAGAUAAUGACUUGGAACGCGCUGAGAAGGUGGCUGAAACCAUUCUGAUGUUCAUUUAUAAAUCACUUGGCGAUCAUCAUGUCAACGUGGAGGGCACACUACUAAGGGUGCCUAUGUUGGCGCCAGGACCGAAGUGCGAGAAACGAUACUCGCCGGGUCAAAUUUCCAAAACCACAUUACGAUUGCUGCGACAUGUAGUGCCAGCUGGCGUAGGUGGUAUAAUUUUGCAUGUGGACGGUAAGACCGAAGACAGAAGUCUUUGCUUACUGAAUGCUACAGCCACCGAGCCAUCCGCAAAACCGUGGCCCAUUAUAUUCAGCUUCGAUGGUACUUUGCAGUCGUCGAUUAUGAUCGCUUGGGCGGGUCACAAGAAAAAUGUUGAAAAGGCUCAAAAUGAGUUCCUAAAGAUGCUUAGCGCAUUCUCAAAUGCCGCACAGGGUUCAUAUGUUACCGGUUCGAUGAAAUCUCUAGCCGAUCAAUGUUAUUGUAAGAAGGCUUUGAAAGCUUUAAAAACAAAACCUGAACCACUCCCUAACGAUUGUGUAAAAUUUGAGGAAUUAUGUCGACCACCACCGGUUGGGCCCACGACAGCGCAACCCUUCGAAAUAUCCGCUGCUUUUAUGGCUAUAGAGAUAAAAUCGGAAGUUGGUUUUGAAGAAAAGGUGAUAGCGGAUCAGAAGAUCAAAACAAAUGAAGUAGUGGAAAAUCCACCACCGCCAGUUUCUGUGGCUGAAAUUUCCCCGUCCGAAAAUCCUGUUCCUGAAAGUGCUAACGUUAAGAGAGCAUCAAGGGCAUCAUUUUCCAGCGUUACCGGUGAACGUAGAAGGAGCUCAGCGGCAAAGGGAACUUAAUUUUAUUCCGCAAACUAUUUGGGCAUACACAAAUUGGAGCCUUGAAACAGCUGGAAGAGCUCAACAUAUCCAAAAAUCACCUAAAACGCCUGCCAGUACAACUGAGUGAAUGUCAGCGACUGAACGAGCUCAACUUAAGUGAUAAUGCCGACAUUUGGCAUAUACCCGAACGAAUCUCCAAUUUACCAUCGCUGCAAUCGCUUUCAGCAGAUCGCUGCGCACUUUUCUACCUGCCCGUUGCGCUUUCUAAAUUUAUUAAUCAUAUCCGCAUCUUUCACAACACAUCCAUUACACAUGUGCCAAUGAUAUACGAAAAAUUCUUCCAAACCUUCUAUGAUAAUCGUGCGAAAGUAACGCCACUAGCUGUGACGCACCGCAGUUAUUUCUGGGUCCUGGAAAGAGAAACUAAUACUAGACUGCUGCUACCGUUCGGCACACGUCGCAUAUUUCGUGUACCGUCGCUAGAUAACCAAGUCACAUUGUACGACGAUUGCCUGCGCGCGGUGCAAUAUU